ACCAGACUCCUACGGGAGGCAGCAGUGGGGAAUAUUGCACAAUGGGGGAAACCCUGAUGCAGCGACGCCGCGUGAGUGAAGAAGUAUUUCGGUAUGUAAAGCUCUAUCAGCAGGAACGAGACAAGACGGUACCUGACUAAGAAGCCCCGGCUAACUACGUGCCAGCAGCCGCGGUAAUACGUAGGGGGCAAGCGUUAUCCGGAAUCACUGGGUGUAAAGGGAGCGUAGACGGCUGAGCAAGCCUGAAGUGAAAGGCGGGGGCCCAACCCCCGGACUGCUUUGGGAACUGUACGGCUGGAGUGCAGGAGAGGUAAGUGGAAUUCCUAGUGUAGCGGUGAAAUGCGUAGAUAUUAGGAGGAACACCAGUGGCGAAGGCGGCUUACUGGACUGUAACCGACGUUGAGGCUCGAAAGCGUGGGGAGCAAACAGGAUUAGAUACCCCUGUA
Molecule: ribosomal RNA, 446 nt
Filed under: uncultured bacterium
Lineage: Bacteria
Description: partial 16S ribosomal RNA
Rfam family: Bacterial small subunit ribosomal RNA
Source: RNAcentral